GAGACGCUGGCGAAAGCAUCGGGUCUUGGGACGUUUGAGUGGCAUGGGUUACCGCGCGAUCUACAUUGAGACAAGGAAGUUGGAAAAGCCGAGUAGUUAUACUAGAAGAUCAGGGUCUCACAGACUCGCAACUUCUCUUCCAUUUUCCCCAAUGGCGCAUGUCUUACAAAAACCCAAGCACUCUGGGACUCACUCCACAGUCCAGGAGUUCCAGGUUCCGGAUUGUGUUCCAUGGCAGCAGUCCAAGCAGGAAACCAAGCCAUCUACUCUGCCUCCAGUCCAACAAGCCAACAGCCUUCAUACAAGCAAAAUGAAGACUUUGACUAGGGUCCAACCAGUGUUUCACUCCAAGCCCACUAUGGUGGUGACAAGCUGCCAGCCGAAGAAUCCAAGAGAACUACAUAGAAGGCGGAAGUUGGACCCUGGGAAGAUGCAUGCCAAAAUCUGGUUAAUGAAGACGAUGCUCAGGAACGGGAGGACCGCUCUGCGAGAGCUCCAAAGCCAUGAGAACUUCCUCACCAAGCUCAACGAGGAGCUGAUUGAGACCAUCCAGGACAUGGAGAACAGCACGACCCUGAACGUGCGGGCCCUGUUGCACCAGCAGGACAUCUUGGCGACCAUCAUCGACAUCUUGGAGUAUUCAAACAAGAAGAGGCUGCAGCAAUUGAAGUCUGAGCUUCAGGAGUGGGAAGAAAAGAAGAAAUGCAAGAUGAGCCGUCUAGAGCAGCAGGCAGAGCAGCUGAAUGCCAAGAUUGAGAAGACCCAGGAGGAAGUGAACUUCCUGAGCACUUACAUGGACCAUGAGUAUUCCAUCAAGUCUGUCCAGAUCUCCACCCUUAUGCGCCAGCUGCAGCAGGUUAAGGACAGCCAGCAGGAUGAGCUGGAUGACCUCAGUGAGAUGCGCAGAAAGGUCCUGGAGUCCUUGUCCGACAAGAUUCAGAAGAAGAAGAAAAAAAUUCUGAGUUCUGUGGUGGCAGAAACCCAGCGUCCCUAUGAAGAGGCUCUCCUACAGAAGAUGUGGGAAAGCCAGGACUUCCUGAAAUGCAUGCAAAGGUUCAGAGAAUUUAUUGACCAGUUUGAGGAGAACAUGUCCGUAUUAAGGGCCGAGGUGGAAGAGCUCCAAGCCCAGACCCGGGAAGCCCGAGAGGUCAUAUUUGAGGAUGUUCUGCUUCGGAGACCCAAAGUUUGGCUCUUUUCGUCAACAAUAAUUUGGUGCCCAAACACGUGAGGCCUCAGAGAAGACUCAGGACCCAAAAGGAGUUGCCUAAAACCAGAGCUAAGGUACCAGCAGGGGCCCAUUGAAGCUUGGAGCUUCUCCUCUGGUGGAACUGCAACAUGGAUAGAACUGGAGGCCAUUAUCUUAAGUGAAGCAAGUCAGACACAGAAAGAUAAGUACCAUAUAUUCUCACUUAUUUUAUUUAUUUAUUUAUUUUGAGAUGGAGUCUCACUCUGUUGCCCAGGCUGGAGUGCAGUGGGGCAAUCUUGGCUCGCUGAAACCUCAACCUUCCGGGUUCAAGAGAUUCUCCUGCCUCAGCCUCCUGAGUAGCUGGGAUUACAGGUGUCCACUACCAUGCUCAGCUACUUUUUGUAUUUUUAGUAGAGAUGGGGUUUCACCAUGUUGGCCAGGCUGGUUUUGAACUCCAGACCUCAAGGGAUCUGUCCACCUUGGCCUCCCAAAGUGCUGGGAUUACAGGCAUGAGCCACUGCGCUGCCCAAUUUAUCACUUUUAGAGAGGCAAUGUGAUAAUUUUGGAACCAUCACGGACAUUCGUAGUAGGUGGGGGAAGAACCCUCUCCUGCCCUGCUCAGGCCUGUCUAAUUACCUGUUGCGUGUGUGUGUGUGUGUGUGUGUGCGUGUGUGUGUGUGUGUGUGUGUGUGUGUGGUUGGGGAUGUGUUUGCUAUUGUGGGGGAAAUAUAAUUAAAAACAAAAUCUUCUCUCAACGUAGAAAACCUCUCCACAAAGGUAGAAGAGAAAGAAAACAAUUGCCAUUGAAUAAGCAUUGAACCAGAAUGUGAGGCACAUCACAGGCAAUUCACAAAGAGUUUGCAAAGACAGAAAGAAAUCCUGCUUGUUUAUAACCUGAAGAAGAUAAAACCCAUUACAGAUAUGCUCUCAAGACAAACAAUAACUGGUUCUCAAAUAGGAGAACUUAGAAGUACCAUUUGACAUACACAUAGUUCAUCCUAGAUUCACCUGAUAAUUGGAGUGGCCAUCUGUGUUUGCUAGUUGGCUUUAACC
This is an RNA transcript of Pongo pygmaeus (Bornean orangutan), 2239 nucleotides long. It is a transcript of the gene named chromosome 21 C20orf96 homolog, with no coding region annotated. The record is from RefSeq and is a predicted model, not a curated record. The transcript is spliced from 12 exons. NCBI's taxonomy places the organism in Eukaryota, Metazoa, Chordata, Mammalia, Primates, Hominidae.